AGUUCUUGAGGCAGCUAUUAUCGAAAAUAAUGGGUUUGGCACUUGUGAUGAUUCCUGAGGCUGAAUCUGGACUCAGCAAGAAAGAGUGCCAUGAUUGAUUAGCCAUGUCUACCAUUAGCUCAAAACUAGGGACAGAUCCUGCCAGAUACUUGCUGACAACAGCUUAGAAGUUUCCCUUGGCCAUACAAACCUUCUUAAAGGACUGACUGUUAGCAGUAAUGGAAAAUUCAGAUGGAUUACUGAUGCCACCCCUGGAGAGGUUCCUGAAUUCUGCUCAACACAAAAUCACCAUGAUUGGUAAACACUUUAAUAAGCUCACUGAAGCUUAAUGACUUCAAUUGUUCCCAUCAUUGCAUAUGUCCCUAACAGCACUCUAAUUUCAUAACUUUUACAAUUGUAACAAAAAUAAUUAUUGUCAGUUUCAUGAUUGUGAGCUCUGCUGGGAGCAAAAACUAUGAGCAGACUAAGACCAAUCUACCUGCCUGCCAAUAUUUUGAAAGACUUAAAACUCUUCUCUAUAAAUUAG
This 526-nucleotide long non-coding RNA is filed under the name Mus spretus (western wild mouse). Its description in RNAcentral is "lncRNA (ENSMSPG00010019708.1)". The record is from RNAcentral. Lineage: Eukaryota; Metazoa; Chordata; Mammalia; Rodentia; Muridae.